CCUACGGGAGGCAGCAGUAGGGAAUCUUGCGCAAUGGGCGAAAGCCUGACGCAGCCAUGCCGCGUGAAUGAUGAAGGUCUUAGGAUUGUAAAAUUCUUUCACCGGGGACGAUAAUGACGGUACCCGGAGAAGAAGCCCCGGCUAACUUCGUGCCAGCAGCCGCGGUAAUACGAAGGGGGCUAGCGUUGCUCGGAAUUACUGGGCGUAAAGGGAGCGUAGGCGGAUAGUUUAGUCAGAGGUGAAAGCCCAGGACUCAACCUUGGAACUGCCUUUGAUACUGGCUAUCUUGAGUACGGGAGAGGUGUGUGGAACUCCGAGUGUAGAGGUGAAAUUCGUAGAUAUUCGGAAGAACACCAGUGGCGAAGGCGACACACUGGCCCGUUACUGACGCUGAGGCUCGAAAGCGUGGGGAGCAAACAGGAUUAGAUACCCUGGUAGUCCACGCCGUAAACGAUGAGUGCUAGUUGUCGGCAUGCAUGCAUGUCGGUGACGCAGCUAACGCAUUAAGCACUCCGCCUGGGGAGUACGGUCGCAAGAUUAAAACUUAAAGGAAUUGAGG
RNAcentral lists this ribosomal RNA (559 nucleotides) under uncultured bacterium. RNAcentral's name for it is "bacterial SSU rRNA". It matches the Rfam family "Bacterial small subunit ribosomal RNA", at positions 338 to 915 of the family's 1533-position model. The record is from RNAcentral.